RNAcentral lists this ribosomal RNA (330 nucleotides) under uncultured bacterium. RNAcentral describes it as "bacterial SSU rRNA". It matches the Rfam family "Bacterial small subunit ribosomal RNA", at positions 568 to 898 of the family's 1533-position model. The record is from RNAcentral.
CGCGUAGGCGGCUUGCCAAGUCAGUGGUGAAAUCCCGCAGCUUAACUGCGGAAGUGCCUUUGAUACUGGCGAGCUCGAGGGAGGUAGGGGUAUGUGGAACUUCUGGUGGAGCGGUGAAAUGCGUUGAUAUCAGAAGGAACGCCGGUGGCGAAAGCGACGUACUGGACCUCUUCUGACGCUGAGGCGCGAAAGCUAGGGGAGCAAACGGGAUUAGAUACCCCGGUAGUCCUAGCCCUAAACGUUGGGUACUAGGUUGUGGACUAACAUGGGUUCACAGCCGAAGCAAAAGUGUUAAGUACCCCGCCUGGGGAGUAUGGUCGCAAGGCUGAA